UGGGUGAUAAGAUUCAUAGUCGAAAGGGCAACAGCCCAGAUCGUCAGCUAAGGUCCCUAAAUGUAAGUUAAGUGGUAAAGGAUGUGGGAUUGCACAGACAACCAGGAUGUUGGCUUAGAAGCAGCCACUCAUUCAAAGAGUGCGUAAUAGCUCACUGGUCGAGUGAUCCUGCGCCGAAGAUUUCCGGGGCUAAAACUUACUACCGAAGCUACGGCAUCAGUAAUGAUGGGUAGGGGAGCUUCCCAUACGGGUUGAAGCAUGACCGUAAGGACAUGUGGACAGUAUGGGAGUGAGAAUGUUGGCAUGAGUAGCGAGAUGUGGGUGAGAAUCCCACAGGCCGUAAACCCAAGGUUUCCAGGGGAAGGUUCGUCCGCCCUGGGUUAGUCGGGACCUAAGCUGAGGCCGAAAGGCGUAGGUGAUGGACAACAGGUUGAUAUUCCUGUACUACCGAUAACCGUUUGAGAGAAGGGAUGACACAGUAGGAUAAGCUAAGCACACUGUUGGUUAUGUGUGCCCAAGCAUUGAGGCAGUCAAAGUAGGCAAAUCCGCUUUGAUAAUGCUGGGAUGUGAUGGGGAGCGAAAUUUAGUAGCGAAGUAGCUGAUUUCACACUGUCAAGAAAAGUCUCUAUCGAGGUUAAAGGUACCCGUACCGCAAACCGACACAGGUGGGUGAGGAGAGUAUCCUAAGGCCAGCGAGAGAACUGUUGUUAAGGAACUCGGCAAAAUGACCCCGUAACUUAGGGAUAAGGGGUGCCACCAUCAGGUGGCCGCAGAGAAUAGGCCCAAGCGACUGUUUACCAAAAACAUAGGUUUCUGCUAAGUCGCAAGACGAUGUAUAGGAGCUGACGCCUGCCCGGUGCUGGAA
This 865-nucleotide ribosomal RNA is filed under the name Clostridioides difficile. Its description in RNAcentral is "partial 23S ribosomal RNA". It matches the Rfam family "Bacterial large subunit ribosomal RNA", at positions 992 to 1874 of the family's 2925-position model. The record is from RNAcentral. Lineage: Bacteria; Bacillati; Bacillota; Clostridia; Peptostreptococcales; Peptostreptococcaceae.